RNAcentral lists this long non-coding RNA (807 nucleotides) under Sus scrofa (pig). RNAcentral describes it as "lncRNA (ENSSSCG00015064933.1)". The record is from RNAcentral. Lineage: Eukaryota; Metazoa; Chordata; Mammalia; Artiodactyla; Suidae.
AAUUCAUUUCCUGUCAUUUUUACUGCUCCUCUGAGCCAGCACACUUGCCGCACUGCUCGAAGUUUCCAGACGCAGAGAAGAGGAUUUCCAAAGAAGAGAAGAAUUUCCUCACCCUCUCAUGUCAUCAUUUACUGCUGCCGAUUUUCCGAGAAUCAUGUUUUUCCUGUUACAAUGUGUAAACGCUCAUAAAAGGACACCGCCUUGUUUGAAAGCUGAGAGCAGCUGUUCGGAGGACAUGUGAUAGGAGCCNAAAGGACACCGCCUUGUUUGAAAGCCGAGAGCAGCUGUUCGGAGGACAUGUGAUAUCGGGAGCUUCUCAAACAAUCCCACACCCUUGUCACCAAGCUGGUGUUGGGAGGAGCUGCUUUUGAUGCUGGACAAUUUCUCCUUCUAAAGGGCAACUAUGUCCACCACGGUCUCUUCCCCCAUUGAUUUUCUCCUCUUGUGACUUUGGAAUCCAAAGUUCAAGGCUGGCCUUGGGAGGCAGAGUGCGGGUGGAGAGAGGUGGAAACAGAAGAAGCAAACAGAAGAAACACCCCAGGAGAGUGAGGGUGACCAGCUUCCUGGACUGGAAGGUACUGGAGAAGCUGAUCCUACAAGACCAGUUGUAUCAUUGGUCAACUGCUGGGCUAGCAACUUGAGGUUCCCGUUAAAGUUGGGUGUGGAGCUGUGAGGCCAGCCAGGACGUCCUGGGGACGGCCGGGAGCGUGGCACAUCCCCAGGCAGGGCCACUGAGGCUUUUGAGUCAUCCUUUUCUCCAGGUCACCAGGUCACGGAGGGCACAGGUGGAGGAGCGCCCCAGCCUGU